AUGUGUGUACCCAAGAACCAAGGAGGAAUGGGUUUUCGGGAUAUCCAUUGUUUCAAUUUGGCUAUGCUGGCUAAACAGGCUUGGCGUCUUCUCGAGAAUCUGGAUUCUCUAGCUACUAUUUUAAGAGUCAAAUACUAUCCUGACGGUGACUUGUUGAACACUGACCUGAAGAAGGGAUCUUCCUUCACCUGGCAAAGUAUUAUGGCGGGUGUGAGCUCCCUGAAGCGUGGUCAUAUUUGGCGAGUGGGAAACGGGCAGAAUAUUGACAUUUGGGAGGACGCAUGGAUUCCAAAUUGUGCAAACCGUAAAAUUGUUACCCCUAAGAGAGGCCAGUUGUUACGGAAGGUAGCAGAUUUGAUUGAUCCAAUCCUAAAUAGUUGGGAUGAAGAUCUUCUCACACAGACUCUAUGGCCUAUUGAUGUUCAGCGAGUGCUUACGAUCCCGAUAUCGCAACAUGAUAUGCCAGAUUUCAUAGCUUGGAAUUCACAAAAAAAUGGGAUUUUUUCAGUUCGCUCU
RNAcentral lists this ribosomal RNA (516 nucleotides) under Triticum aestivum (bread wheat). RNAcentral describes it as "partial small subunit ribosomal RNA". The record is from RNAcentral. Lineage: Eukaryota; Viridiplantae; Streptophyta; Magnoliopsida; Poales; Poaceae.